UGCGUAGGCGGCGCGGUAAGUCGGGUGUGAAAUCUUGGAGCUUAACUCCGAAACUGCAUUCGAUACUGCCGUGCUUGAGGACUGGAGAGGAGACUGGAAUUUACGGUGUAGCGGUGAAAUGCGUAGAUAUCGUAAGGAAGACCAGUGGCGAAGGCGGGUCUCUGGACAGUUCCUGACGCUGAGGCACGAAGGUCAGGGGACAAACG
This 206-nucleotide ribosomal RNA is filed under the name uncultured bacterium. Its description in RNAcentral is "partial 16S ribosomal RNA". It matches the Rfam family "Bacterial small subunit ribosomal RNA", at positions 568 to 774 of the family's 1533-position model. The record is from RNAcentral.